This 102-nucleotide small nuclear RNA is filed under the name Vulpes vulpes (red fox). Lineage: Eukaryota; Metazoa; Chordata; Mammalia; Carnivora; Canidae. The record is from RNAcentral.
GUGCUUUCUUCAGCAAUACAUAUGCAGAAAUUGGAACAAUACAGAGAAAACUAGCACAGCCUCUGCACAAGGAUGACAUGCAAAUAAAGAUUAUGAAUUUUG